This 300-nucleotide ribosomal RNA is filed under the name uncultured bacterium. RNAcentral's name for it is "bacterial SSU rRNA". It matches the Rfam family "Bacterial small subunit ribosomal RNA", at positions 334 to 632 of the family's 1533-position model. The record is from RNAcentral.
AUGCCCUACGGGACGCAGCAGUGAGGAAUAUUGGUCAAUGGUCGGGAGACUGAACCAGCCAAGCCGCGUGAGGGAUGAAGGUACAGAGUAUCGUAAACCUCUUUUGUCAGGGAACAAAGGCGGGGACGCGUCCCCGGAUGAGUGUACCUGAAGAAAAAGCAUCGGCUAACUCCGUGCCAGCAGCCGCGGUAAUACGGAGGAUGCGAGCGUUAUCCGGAUUUAUUGGGUUUAAAGGGUACGCAGGCGGUCUGUUAAGUCAGCGGGCAAAGACCGGGGCUCAAACCCGGCCCCGCGUUGAAA